Molecule: non-coding RNA, 645 nt
Organism: Rattus norvegicus (Norway rat)
Lineage: Eukaryota; Metazoa; Chordata; Mammalia; Rodentia; Muridae
Source: the annotation of a RefSeq genome assembly
ACUGUCCUCUUGCCUUCACUGAUCACUCUCCUAAGUUCACUUCCUCAAAAUGAUGAGUCCUGCCCAGUUCCUGUCUCUGCUAAUGCUCUGGAUCCAGGAAACCCACAGUGAUAUUGUGAUGACACAGACUCCACUCUCUUUGUCAGUUGCCAUUGGACAAUCAGCCUCCAUCUCUUGCAAAUCGAGUCAGAGCCUCAAAUAUAGUGAUGGAAAGACAUAUUUGAAUUGGGUAUUUCAGAGUCCUGGCCAGUCUCCAAAGCGCCUAAUCUAUCAGGUGUCUAAACUGGACUCUGGAGUCCCUGACAGGUUCAGUGGCACUGGAUCAGAGACAGAUUUUACACUUAAAAUCAGCAGAGUGGAGGCAGAGGAUUUGGGAGUUUAUUACUGCUGUCAGGUUCAUAUUCUCCUCACACAGUGAUACAGACCCUAACAAAAACAUCCUUGUUUAGGACAGUCCCCUUUGCAAUGUAAUGCGUGACUGGAGAAUAACAGAGCACUCUGUGUCUUUGUGGAAGGGAGUGCAGGGGAACUUGAGUAAUUGCUGAGAGCUCUAGCUAAAUUCAUCUGGCUGGAUGAGUGGUUUGACUAGAUCUCAAGUGCCACUAAUUUCUGGUCCUUCUUGUAACCGCCAUUGUGUUGUCUCAU